GUGGCGUUCGGUGGUAUGGUGUGGGGUGGGGUGGGGAGGAGGGCGAGCUCGGCGGUGACGCGGGGCCCUCACGUGACCGGGAGCUGCAGAACGACGCAGCCUUCGGUGCAGUCGUCACUCGCGUCUGGGUACCAGGUCCCCGCUGCCCUGCGCGCGGCGGGCUGGCAUCGGGCCCCGGAGAGCGGAGCAGGUUUUCUCCUAGGCCCACGGGAGGGCUGUUUGCCACUGGAUGCAAGGGAAAGGGGGAGACUGAACCGGAGCCAUGGAGAUCGGCCUGCAGGCCUUCUGCAGGGUUUGAGAUCACUGGAAGCAAAGCAAUAAGGAGGAAAUUGCCCUUGAUCAGUAUAGACUGGUGCACAGAUCCCAUGAGUUCAUAGAUCCACUUUAGGGUGUGUCACCAAUCAAGAGAAGGAAAGAGGCGGGAACUGCCUUGGACCGUUACAGGUGUUGAUCCCAAGAGCAUUCCCUAAAAAAAAGCCCUUCCUGUUGACCUCUGUCUGAGUCUGCUCUCCAGGAAGCCAGCUACAAGAGUUGGUACAAGAAGUGGUUCAGGAAGGCACACACUGUGAUGAAAUUUUGGAGAUGGAUCACCUGCUUCCUGUCUGGCAAUGAGGACCCCACCAUUGGUGGUAGGUGCAGUGGAUAGACAGGUAGCAAAAGAAUUGUAAGGCCUUACUGGGAUGGCAUAUUGGUGAAAGGGAAUGUAUUAACUGGUGGCAUGUAACAGACAUGUGAAGGAUAUGUGGGAAAUAUUAAAUAUAAGGAAAGUCAGUGUACUGUGUCUAUUACUAACCUUUAUUCACCUCUACAAGCAAAUAAUUAAAAGCUGGAUUAAAUUGAUCAACAAUUAGAAGUUAUGUAUGGGGCUUCCCCAGGGGUUAAGUCUCAGUGCUAGCUCAGCCAUAGCC
Long non-coding RNA from Condylura cristata (star-nosed mole), 908 nucleotides. RefSeq lists it as uncharacterized. NCBI's taxonomy places the organism in Eukaryota, Metazoa, Chordata, Mammalia, Eulipotyphla, Talpidae. The record is from RefSeq and is a predicted model, not a curated record. The transcript has 5 exons.